Molecule: microRNA precursor, 207 nt
Filed under: Oryza sativa Japonica Group (Japanese rice)
Lineage: Eukaryota; Viridiplantae; Streptophyta; Magnoliopsida; Poales; Poaceae
Description: MIR812 microRNA precursor family
Rfam family: MIR812 microRNA precursor family
Source: Rfam by way of RNAcentral
AAAAAGACAAACCCUGGGUUUCCGUGUCCAACUUUGAUUGUCCGUCUUAUAUGAAUUUUUUUUAUAAUUCGUAUUUUCAUUGUUGUUAGAUGAUAAAACAUGAUUAAUAUUUUAUGCGUGACUUGUCUUUUUAAUUUUUUUUCAUAAUUUUUUCAAAUAAGACGGACGGUCAAACGUUGGACACGGAAACCAGAGUUUGUCUUUUUU